GACGAACGCUGGCGGCGUGCCUAAUACAUGCAAGUUGAGCGCUGAAGGUUGGUACUUGUACCGACUGGAUGAGCAGCGAACGGGUGAGUAACGCGUGGGGAAUCUGCCUUUGAGCGGGGGACAACAUUUGGAAACGAAUGCUAAUACCGCAUAAAAACUUUAAACACAAGUUUUAAGUUUGAAAGAUGCAAUUGCAUCACUCAAAGAUGAUCCCGCGUUGUAUUAGCUAGUUGGUGAGGUAAAGGCUCACCAAGGCGAUGAUACAUAGCCGACCUGAGAGGGUGACCGGCCAAAUGGGAACUGGAACCGGGCCCAAACUCCUCCGGGAGGGAGCAGUGGGGAAUUUUGGGAAAUGGAGGAAAUUCUGACCGGCCAACGCCGGGGGGGGGAAGAAGGUUUUCGGAUGGUAAAACCGUUUUGGGAGGAAAAAACGUUGGGGGGAGGGGAAAGCCCAAAAAGGGGGGGAAACCACCAAGAAAGGGGCGGCAAACUACGG
RNAcentral lists this ribosomal RNA (496 nucleotides) under uncultured bacterium. RNAcentral describes it as "partial 16S ribosomal RNA". It matches the Rfam family "Bacterial small subunit ribosomal RNA", at positions 28 to 506 of the family's 1533-position model. The record is from RNAcentral.